RNAcentral lists this ribosomal RNA (468 nucleotides) under uncultured bacterium. RNAcentral describes it as "partial 16S ribosomal RNA". It matches the Rfam family "Bacterial small subunit ribosomal RNA", at positions 28 to 507 of the family's 1533-position model. The record is from RNAcentral.
GACGAACGCUGGCGGCGUGCUUAACACAUGCAAGUCGAACGGACAGGCCAUGCUUUUGUGGGGUGCUCGAUAGGCGCACGGGUGAGUAACACGUGAGUAAACUGCACUUGAAUUUGGGAUAACUUCUGGAAAAUGGGGCUAAUACAGGAUAGGAGCUCCUGCAGCACGGUGGGGGUUGGUAAGUUUCGGCGGUUGUGGAUGGUAUGGCGGGUUAUCAGCUUGUUGGUGGGGUUGUGGCUUACCAAGGCUUUGAAGGGUAGCCGGCCUGGGAGGUGGACCGGGCACAAGGCGACUGAGAGACGGCCCAGACGGCAACGUGAGGCAGCAGUGGGGAAUAUGGCACAAUGGGCGGAAGCCUGAUGCAGCAACGCCGCGUGCGUGAUGACGGCCUUCGGGGUGUAAACCGCUUUCGCCGGUGACGUAGCGUGAGUGACGGUAAUGGGUAAAGAAGCACCGGCUAACUACGUG